Molecule: ribosomal RNA, 570 nt
Filed under: Triticum aestivum (bread wheat)
Lineage: Eukaryota; Viridiplantae; Streptophyta; Magnoliopsida; Poales; Poaceae
Description: partial small subunit ribosomal RNA
Source: RNAcentral
AUGCCGCUCGCCGGCAUUGCACUCGCGCCUCUCCUCGUCUCCCCUCACGCGCCUUCCUCUCCCCGUGGCAGCGUCGCCGUCUCUGUAGAGGCCGCGAGAAGGCGUCGCGCGCUACGGCGAGUGCGGUGCUCGGCCGCAGCGGCGUCCGGCGGAGACGGGGACGCCGGCGAGCUCUCACGCGCGACGCUGCUCUGGAGAGCGGCCAAGCUGCCCAUCUACUCCGUGGCGCUCGUGCCACUCACCGUAGGCACUGCUGCUGCUUAUAACCAUGCGGGGCUGUUCUUUGCCAGACGCUACUUUGGCCUCUUGGCUGCUGCUAUCCUUGUGAUCACCUGGCUCAAUCUGAGCAGCAAUGACGUUUAUGAUUCAGAUACUGGCGCUGAUAAGAACAAGAAAGAAUCUGUCGUCAACAUUGUUGGCAGUUGGGCAGUGACACAAUAUGCUGCAAACGUUCCUCUUCUGUUCGGCUUUGGAGGGCUAUUUUGGGCCUUUACAGAAGCAGGAGACGUCAGGUUCAUCACUUUGGUUCUAUGUGCAAUCCUUUGUGGUUAUGUUUCUCAGGUGUUCUGA